Molecule: ribosomal RNA, 300 nt
Filed under: Triticum aestivum (bread wheat)
Lineage: Eukaryota; Viridiplantae; Streptophyta; Magnoliopsida; Poales; Poaceae
Description: partial small subunit ribosomal RNA
Source: RNAcentral
AUGAUGGACAAUAUUGAUGAAGUUGCCGAUAAAUGUUUGUCUGCUUUAAAGGCCAUAGAGAGAGAUAAGUUGAGGGUGGCAAGAGCAUACAAUAAGAAGGUCAAGUUGAAGAAUUUUCAAGUUGGCGAUCUCGUGUGGAAGGUGAUUCUACCAAUUGGUUCAAAAGAUAGAAAGUUUGGGAAGUGGUCUCCAUGUUGGGAAGGUCCUUUUAAGAUUACAAGAGUGGUUCCUGGAACUCAUAUUUGGUGGAAUCCGUACAAGGCACAUUAUUACCUCGAUCUCUCAAUGGCAAAUAUUUAA